This is a long non-coding RNA of Sitophilus oryzae (rice weevil), 1228 nucleotides long. RefSeq lists it as uncharacterized. The record is from RefSeq and is a predicted model, not a curated record. The transcript has 2 exons. NCBI's taxonomy places the organism in Eukaryota, Metazoa, Arthropoda, Insecta, Coleoptera, Curculionidae.
CUUUCAAGGUCUUCCUUGAAGGUAGCCAAUCACGCAAACAGAAUGCAUUUCGUAAAUCGCAAUUCGCAAGUGCAUGAACUAGGCUUUAACAAUUUCAAGAUAAAUACAUAAAUUGGUGGUAGAAUUCAUAUCGACAUGAUUUUUGGAUAUAAACUUGAGGUAAUGGUGUGGAUCCGGUGGCUGACCUUGAAGCCCAUAUUUGCUGCAUUUGAUCACAGAUACUACGCAAGCGCACAACGUCGACGUUGUCAAGUCGCAGAUUAUUUUCAAAUUAUUUUCAGUAGAAAACAUAUGUUUUUUGAGUGUUCAAAUAAAGUAAUAAUACAAAUUCUAUGAUUAAUUUUAUAAUUUAAGAUUUAUCUUGAUAUCAAAAAUUUAAGCAACAACGAUAAUAGAGACUUUGAAGUUAAGGUAUUAUGAUUGUAAUCGGAGUUAUAAGUAAUAUUAUCUCAUUUAUUUAUAUAUUUGCAUUAGAAGUAAAAAUUGUAAUAUACGGAUUUUUUCUUAUUGAUUUUAAACCUUUUAGAAUUAUAUUUGUAUUAUCAAUAUGAUGACAUUUAUUAUAUCCAUGUUGUUUAACUUCUAGUUAUUUACAGGCAACAAUAGUUUUGAUUAUAUGUAUGGAAGUACCUACUACCAUAACGAAGACCUAGGAUACUUCAAAUACCAAUUUGAUAAUUUUUAAAGACAUAAAUUACAAUGAUAAAACUUAGUAAAGAGGUAACAGGGUACCUAUUCUUACCCAAUAUGCUUUAAUCUAUGAGUCUUAAGGGGUGAGCAGUAUUCCAUCCCGUGAUUGAUAUUCCAGGAUAAGAUUGAAGGACAUAGAGGACAUGGAAUAAGGAGACCGCGCUCAUGCCUGCGUAACAUGAAUCAGGGAUUUGUAUGAUGCGAAAACAUUGUUUGCAUUGUUGCACUUACUUACAACAGUUGACCCAACGUACUAUAGCAUAUUAUGGGACAUGAAGAAUAGCAUAAUACAUAUCAAUGAGAUAGAGAUAUGCUAAGAACAUCACAUAAAUUCGAUUUAAGAAUAGAAAAAUCUUUAGGUAGCAGAAAUAUUAAUGCAUGUCUAAGCAAGAUUAAAUAAGGUAAUUAUUAACGUUGCUGAUUAUAAACAUGAUAUGGAACUACAGCAUUUAAAAAUUUUCAAAAAAAAAGAAGAAACUUUGACACACCCCUUUUAAAUUUUUGAAUUUUAAUAAAGCACUUUUUAAACGAUGCUUAA